AACGAACGCUGGCGGCAUGCCUAACACAUGCAAGUCGAACGAGACCUUCGGGUCUAGUGGCGCACGGGUGCGUAACGCGUGGGAACCUGCCCUUAGGUUCGGAAUAACUCCCCGAAAGGGGUGCUAAUACCGGAUAAUGUCUUCGGACCAAAGAUUUAUCGCCUUUGGUUGGGCCCGCGUUGGAUUAGCUAGUUGGUAGGGUAAAAGCCUACCAAGGCGACGAUCCAUAGCUGGUCUGAGAGGAUGAUCAGCCACACUGGGACUGAGACACGGCCCAGACUCCUACGGGAUGCAGCAGUGGGGAAUAUUGGACAAUGGGCGAAAGCCUGAUCCAGCAAUGCCGCGUAAGUGAUGAAGGCCUUAGGGUUGUAAAGCUCUUUUACCCGGGAUGAUAAUGACAGUACCGGGAGAAUAAGCCCCGGCUAACUCCGUG
This 433-nucleotide ribosomal RNA is filed under the name uncultured bacterium. Its description in RNAcentral is "partial 16S ribosomal RNA". It matches the Rfam family "Bacterial small subunit ribosomal RNA", at positions 29 to 507 of the family's 1533-position model. The record is from RNAcentral.